AGAGUUUGAUCCUGGCUCAGGGUGAAUGUUGGCGACGUGCCUAAGGUAUGCAAGUUGAACGGUUUCUUUUGCGUAGCAAUACAAUAAAGAAAUAGUAGCGAACGGCUGAGUAACACGUAGGAACUUACCUUAAAGUCGAGGAUACCCUUACGAAAGUUUGGCUAAUACUGGAUGUGCUUACACUGUAAGGUGUAAGGAAAGAAUUUAUUCACUUUAAGAGAGGCCUGCGUUCUAUCAGGUAGUUGGUGAGGUAAAGGCUCACCAAGCCUAUGACGGAUAGCUGGUCUGAGAGGAUGACCAGCCAGAAUGGGACUGAGACACGGCCCAUACUCCUACGGGAGGCAGCAAUCAGGAAUCUUGCACAAUGGACGAAAGUCUGAUGCAGCGACGUCGCGUGAAGGAAGAAGGCCCUCGGGUCGUAAACUUCUUUUAUUUGGGAACAAAAAAAUGAGGGUACCAAAUGAAUAAGGCCCCCCUAACUACGUGCCAGAAGGGUCGGUGAUGCGUAGGGGCCAAACAUUAUCCAAAUUUACUGGGCGUAAAGAGAUGCGUAGGCGUUUUCUUAAGUUCUUCGUGAAAGGCUAAGGCUCAACCUUAGAACUGCGGGGAAAACUGGGAAAAUCGAGUUAUGUAGAGGUAAGUAGAACAUCUGGUGGAGCGGUGAAAUGCGUUGAUCUCAGAUGGAAUACCAAUGGCGAAAGCAGCUUACUGGACAUAUACUGACGCUAAGGCUCGAAAGCUAGGGUAGCAAAACGGAUUAGAUACCCGUGUAGUCCUAGCCGUAAACGAUCCUCGCUAGAUGUUGGGUUAUAUUGUGUUAUAAGGGCUUUUGUUCUUGUAAUAUAAUAAAUUCAGUGUCGCAGUUAACGCGUUAAGCGAGGCGCCUGGGUAGUACGGCCGCAAGGCUAAAACUCAAAGGAAUUGACGGGGACCCGCACAAGUAGUGGAGCGCUUGGUUUAAUUCGACACUAAACGAAAAACCUUACCAGGGCUUGAACUGUAGCUGCUAAUCUUAUGAAAGUAAGACUCCUUCGAGGGUGCUAUAGAGGUGCUGCAUGGCUGUCGUCAGCUCGUGUCGUGAGAUGUUGGGUUAAGUCCCGCAACGAGCGCAACCCCUUUCCAGUGUUAUAAUUUCUCUGGAUACUGCCUUGCCAAAACAAGGAGGAAGGUGGGGAUGACGUGUAGUCAUCAUAGUCCUUAUGUCCUGGGCUACACAAACGCUACAAUGGUUAUUAUAAAGGGUAGCCAAAUCGCAAGAUGGAGCUAAUCUCAAAAAUAAUCUCAGUUCAGAUUGUCGGCUGAAAUUCGCCGGCAUGAAGUUGGAAUUACUAGUAAUCGCAAAUCAGCAUGUUGCGGUGAAUACGUUCUCGGGUCUUGUACACACCGCCUAUCAAGCCACGGGAGCUGGUCCUACCCAAUGGCUCUACAUAAGUAGGGACUAAGGUGGGGCUGGUGACUGGGGCUAAGUCAUAACAAGGUAGUCGUAGGGGAAUCUGCGGCUG
Molecule: ribosomal RNA, 1502 nt
Filed under: metagenome
Description: bacterial SSU rRNA
Rfam family: Bacterial small subunit ribosomal RNA
Source: RNAcentral